RNAcentral lists this RNase P RNA (316 nucleotides) under human gut metagenome. RNAcentral describes it as "Bacterial RNase P class A". It matches the Rfam family "Bacterial RNase P class A". From Rfam's summary of the family: Ribonuclease P (RNase P) is a ubiquitous endoribonuclease, found in archaea, bacteria and eukarya as well as chloroplasts and mitochondria. Its best characterised activity is the generation of mature 5'-ends of tRNAs by cleaving the 5'-leader elements of precursor-tRNAs. Cellular RNase Ps are ribonucleoproteins. The record is from RNAcentral.
AUCGCGGGGUGCGAGAGCACAAUGAGGAAAGUCCGAGCAUCACAGAGCAGGGUAGCUGAUAACAUCAGCCGAGGGCGACCUUAGGGCUAGUGCAACAGAGAUAUACCGCAGCUUUAUGCUGUAAGGGUGGAAAGGCGAGGUAAGAGCUCACCGGAAUCCGGGAGACCGGAUUGCCAUGUAAACCCUAUCCGAUGCAACACCGAUUGGUGCGGAGAAUAACACGCCUGCUCGGCGUGCUUCGCUUAAGGUGGCUUGAUCCUGCCGGCGACGGCAGGGCUAGAUAGAUGAUCAUACACGACAGAACUCGGCUUAUCGA